This 1112-nucleotide long non-coding RNA is filed under the name Callithrix jacchus (white-tufted-ear marmoset). RNAcentral describes it as "lncRNA (ENSCJAG00000086324.1)". Lineage: Eukaryota; Metazoa; Chordata; Mammalia; Primates; Cebidae. The record is from RNAcentral.
CAACCUUAAAAAAAUUGCAAGAAUAAUUUAAAUAACACUUUGCUGAGCCAUGUGACAGCAAAGGACCAACAAAAUGCCUCAUCACCCCGGAAUACUUUAGCAUAGAUCAAAGACUUUCUAUUACAGAACCACAAUACAAUAAUCUCGGAAAUUGAUAUUGAUAUGUUACUAACAUCUAAACCUUAGAUUCCAUUCACUUUUUGCCAGUAGUUUCAAUAUGGUACUUUAUAAGAAAAUAACCAGUCCAGAAUUAUGUACAGCAUUUAGUUGUCAUCUUAUUGAACUCUGUCAUUGUGGAGCAUUUCUUUAGUCCUUCCUUGACUUCAGAACCAUGACAUUCUUAAAGAUAUUACAGGACUGUCAUUUGGCAGAAUGUCUCUCCACUGAGUUUAUCACGUGUUUCCUCAUGAUUAGAAGAUUAAAGUUAUGCAAGUUGGGCAUGUAUGUCACAAAGUGACUCUGAACUCUUUCAUCCCAUCAGGGGACACGCAACCAGCACUUAUUCCACCAUUUUCUGAGGAAAAACAUAGGACUAUGACACAAAGUCUCACCCUUGUCUCACGUGGAGGGGAGUAAGCCAGUGCUAUUCCCUAUCUGAGCUUGGAAUGUGCAAGACAUCAAAGGGAUUGAUGGUGAGUAGUUACAAAGUUGUUGCUGUAGGGAGAGAGGAAAAGAGGGGAUGGGUCAUAUUACUAAAAUGAAGAACUGUAGGAAUUCAAGGAGAAGUUAGGGCAAUUUAAUACAUGAGCUAUCUAUAGUACACUCUCAAUAGGUAUCUCUGAGAGUAACAAGAAAGGUCUUGCAGCGAGAGGCCCUUGUGUGAUACAAAGGGACAAAAUAAUUUGAUCAGGGGUUCAAAACUCAAUCACUCACUCCUCUCCCACUACCACCACCCAACUCUUUAUGUCACAAUUACUCAAAUACCUUCAAUGAACAAUUGCCUAAAUCUUCUUCUGGGCUAAAUAUGGAGAUGCUCCCAGUGACUGAGAGGUAGACCUGUGUUCUUACCUCCGUCCUGGUAAUGGAGAAGUGGCAGCUGCACCCUCCUGUGAGAUGACUGGGUGAGAAGUCUUUAUAUUCACAGCUGGAGAAGCAGCCAGGUGGAACUUCUG